Molecule: ribosomal RNA, 258 nt
Filed under: uncultured bacterium
Lineage: Bacteria
Description: partial 16S ribosomal RNA
Rfam family: Bacterial small subunit ribosomal RNA
Source: RNAcentral
UGGCGGACGGGUGAGUAACGCGUGGGCAACCUGCCCUGUACCGGGGGAUAACAGCCGGAAACGGCUGCUAAUACCGCAUAAGCGCACGAGAGCGCAUGCUUUUGUGUGAAAAACUCCGGUGGUACGGGAUGGGCCCGCGUCUGAUUAGCUUGUUGGCGGGGUAGAGGCCCACCAAGGCGACGAUCAGUAGCCGACCUGAGAGGGUGACCGGCCACAUUGGGACUGAGACACGGCCCAAACUCCUACGGGAGGCAGCAG